This 342-nucleotide unclassified non-coding RNA is filed under the name soil metagenome. RNAcentral describes it as "partial contains 5.8S ribosomal RNA, internal transcribed spacer 2, and large subunit ribosomal RNA". The stretch from base 1 to 120 matches the Rfam family "5.8S ribosomal RNA", at positions 35 to 154 of the family's 154-position model. The record is from RNAcentral.
GAUGAAGAACGCAGCGAAAUGCGAUAAGUAGUGUGAAUUGCAGAAUUCAGUGAAUCAUCGAAUCUUUGAACGCACAUUGCGGCCAUAGGUAUUCCUUUGGCCAUGCCUGUUCGAGCGUCAUUUACACCCUCAAGCCUAGCUUGGUGUUGGGCGCCUGUCCCGCCGUUUUCGCGCGCGGACUCGCCUCAAAGUCAUUGGCGGCGGUCGUGCCGGCCCCCUCGCGCAGCACAUUUGCGCUUCUCGGAGGCCCGGCGGAUCCGCGCUCCAGCAAGACCUUUCACGACUUGACCUCGGAUCAGGUAGGGAUACCCGCUGAACUUAAGCAUAUCAAUAAGCGGAUGA